This 29-nucleotide non-coding RNA is filed under the name Mus musculus (house mouse). Lineage: Eukaryota; Metazoa; Chordata; Mammalia; Rodentia; Muridae. The record is from RNAcentral.
UACUAUGCAAGCUGUAGGUCCUUGGCAGA